RNAcentral lists this ribosomal RNA (253 nucleotides) under uncultured prokaryote. RNAcentral describes it as "partial 16S ribosomal RNA". It matches the Rfam family "Bacterial small subunit ribosomal RNA", at positions 524 to 776 of the family's 1533-position model. The record is from RNAcentral.
UACAGAGGGUGCAAGCGUUAAUCGGAAUUACUGGGCGUAAAGCGUGCGUAGGCGGUUUCGUAAGUCGGGUGUGAAAGCCCCGGGCUCAACCUGGGAAUUGCAUUCGAGACUGCGAAGCUAGGGUGCGGAAGAGGGAAGCGGAAUUUCCGGUGUAGCGGUGAAAUGCGUAGAUAUCGGAAAGAACACCAACGGCGAAAGCACUCUGCUGGGCCGACACUGACACUGAGAGACGAAAGCUAGGGGAGCGAAUGGG